UGUCUGCUUUUUGUGAGGAGGAACACAGUGUGCUGUUUCCCCUGCCACAGCCACUGAGCCCUCACCAGCAGUCAUUGAACUCCUUAGCCUGUGAGCCUGCCAAGAUCCAGCAGUUAUCCCAGGACUAAACCAGAGGCUUAGCAGUGUGGGAGCAAGAAGAAUCCGGGUACCAUGUGAAAGCAGCGCCUUAAUGCAGCAAAAACCCUCAGGAGCUCCUCAGGAUUUGGUGGUGUGGAGUGCAGUGGCCAAGGGAAUGAGUUGGAACAGGCAGAAGUUACCCACAUUCUCCUCCACCAUGUGUGACCUUGGUCCUUCAGGGGCAAGCCAGCAUGAGGGAUGAAUGAAUACACAUGAGGGAGCAAAGACAAGGCAGGGGAUCAAGCCAGAAGGAUUUGCUGAGAUUGGGAAGGUGAUGAGAGAAACAAUACAACCAGAACCCCGUCUCCACAAUCUGAUGGAAAGAAAUCGUACAUCAUGGAUAAACUCAUUUUUCUGCUGAUGAUGGAUGAAGGGGAGGACAUACAACUGUAGGACAAGUACAGAGGGCUGAAGGACAAUUAUGUCAACAAGGAAGCAAUGCAGAAACAGAAACCUGAGUCAAUAUUCAGACCCUUUAAUUAUGCAGCU
This is a long non-coding RNA of Melospiza melodia melodia, 627 nucleotides long. RefSeq lists it as uncharacterized. The record is from RefSeq and is a predicted model, not a curated record. NCBI's taxonomy places the organism in Eukaryota, Metazoa, Chordata, Aves, Passeriformes, Passerellidae. The transcript has 5 exons.